UGGGGAAUAUUGCACAAUGGGCGGAAGCCUGAUGCAGCGACGCCGCGUGGGGGAUGAAGGCCUUCGGGUUGUAAACUCCUUUCGACAGGGACGAAGCUUUUGUGACGGUACCUGUAUAAGAAGCACCGGCUAACUACGUGCCAGCAGCCGCGGUGAUACGUAGGGUGCGAGCGUUGUCCGGAAUUACUGGGCGUAAAGAGCUCGUAGGUGGUUUGUCGCGUCGUCUGUGAAAUUCCGGGGCUUAACUCCGGGCGUGCAGGCGAUACGGGCUGACUUGAGUGCUGUAGGGGAGACUGGAAUUCCUGGUGUAGCGGUGAAAUGCGCAGAUAUCAGGAGGAACACCGAUGGCGAAGGCAGGUCUCUGGGCAGUAACUGACGCUGAGGAGCGAAAGCAUGGGUAGCGAACAGG
This 409-nucleotide ribosomal RNA is filed under the name Actinomycetes bacterium. RNAcentral's name for it is "Actinobacteria bacterium partial 16S ribosomal RNA". It matches the Rfam family "Bacterial small subunit ribosomal RNA", at positions 355 to 776 of the family's 1533-position model. Lineage: Bacteria; Bacillati; Actinomycetota; Actinomycetes. The record is from RNAcentral.